UUUUUGCACUUAAAGCAAGACAUGUUGGACUUGUCCCCUUUUCUUGUUAUUGGACUUAUUCUUAUUGGAGUGCUAACUAUGUCCAUCAUCACACUUUUCCAAGUCUUUCUUCAAACUAGUGACUUGGGCCUUGAGCUUAUUAAUUUCUUCUACAUGGUUAGUUUCAACACUGGAAACAAGAGGACUAGUGGAAGUAGAAACUUCAUGGUUAGAGCAACAAGACAAUGCGAGGAGUUCAUCAUGAUUGGUAAUAAUAUGAGAGUUGGAUGAAUUGCAAGGAUUAGCACAUGGCAAUAAAACAUUUAGAGUAGAUGUGCUAAUGUACACAUGAGACUCGCAAAAUUUUACCUUGGUGACCAUAGUCUCAAGUUCCUGAGAGAUUUUCAUGACUUUCUUCCAAUUUCCCAUAAUUGUUGGUUAGCAAAUCAAGUUGAUCACAUAACUCAACAUUCUCCUUGAAAGUUGAUGCUUCACACGAGGUAGAGUUAGAUGCGCAAGUAUCAUCGACAAUAUGAGAGGAGCAAGUAGCUAUUAGAGA
This 538-nucleotide long non-coding RNA is filed under the name Hordeum vulgare. RNAcentral's name for it is "long non-coding RNA (HVUL_LNC013833)". Lineage: Eukaryota; Viridiplantae; Streptophyta; Magnoliopsida; Poales; Poaceae. The record is from RNAcentral.